AACUUACUGCCCCAGGAAAGGAAUUUUUUCCUGAGCAGGAGGGAGCUGAGGAAGUCUGGGCAAUCCACAACAGACCAUCUGAAAUCAUUUUCCCAGGCGGCGGAAUAAACACCUAGCCAGACGCUACAUUGUUUUUCAAAGAGCCUCGGGCCAGGUCCCAUCUCUUGGGCUGCACUCAUCUGAACGGACCUUGCCAGGAGAACACAUGCCAGAGCAGCAGUUGGCUGAGUGGUCCUCACCAGUGGAGGAGUGAGUGGAUUACCAGAAGGGCUCUGCUGUGGCUCCCGAUUAGUGAGGAGUGAUGUGUCUGGGAGGCACUGGCCUGGCCAAAAGAGCGUUCUUUCACUUCUAGCCAGUUCUCAUCGUUCUCCACAGAAUGUGCCAUGUUGGCUAAAACUAUGAAGUCUGCCAUGAAUGUGAGCGGAAAUGUGGAAAAGGCCCCUUCACAAGGAACUGAGCAAGUCCUCUGACGAACAAUCAGAAACUCAGGACUUCAGUCCAACAGCCUGUGAAGUGCUGGAUCCUAUUAACAACCAUGAGGUGUACCAGUGGAGCAGAAUCUCAGUUGCGGUGGAAUUAGGAGUAAAGCAACUAUACUGAUCAAUCUUCAUGAUGUGAAGGGUAAGAA
Molecule: long non-coding RNA, 628 nt
Organism: Balaenoptera ricei (Rice's whale)
Lineage: Eukaryota; Metazoa; Chordata; Mammalia; Artiodactyla; Balaenopteridae
Exons: 4
Source: RefSeq, a predicted model, not a curated record